AACGCUGGCGGCAGGCCUAACACAUGCAAGUCGAACGCCCCGCAAGGGGAGUGGCAGACGGGUGAGUAACACGUGGGAACCUUCCCUAUAGUACGGAAUAGCCCAGGGAAACUUGGAGUAAUACCGUAUACGCCCGAAAGGGGAAAGAAUUUCGCUAUAGGAUGGGCCCGCGUAGGAUUAGCUAGCUGGUGAGGUAAUGGCUCACCAAGGCGACGAUCCUUAGCUGGUUUGAGAGAACGACCAGCCACACUGGGACUGAGACACGGCCCAGACUCCUACGGGAGGCAGCAGUGGGGAAUAUUGGACAAUGGGCGCAAGCCUGAUCCAGCCAUGCCGCGUGAGUGAUGAAGGCCUUAGGGUUGUAAAGCUCUUUUGCCGGGGGCGAUAAUGACGGUACCCGGAGAAUAAGUCCCGGCUAACU
This 421-nucleotide ribosomal RNA is filed under the name uncultured bacterium. RNAcentral's name for it is "bacterial SSU rRNA". It matches the Rfam family "Bacterial small subunit ribosomal RNA", at positions 32 to 502 of the family's 1533-position model. The record is from RNAcentral.